GCCCCAGUAGCUCAGUGGAUAGAGCACGGCUCUCCUAAAGCCGGUGUCGGAGGUUCGAUUCCUCUCUGGGGCACCA
Molecule: transfer RNA, 76 nt
Filed under: Corynebacterium xerosis
Lineage: Bacteria; Bacillati; Actinomycetota; Actinomycetes; Mycobacteriales; Corynebacteriaceae
Also listed under: 3 other names
Description: tRNA-Arg
Rfam family: tRNA
About the family: Transfer RNA (tRNA) molecules are approximately 80 nucleotides in length. Their secondary structure includes four short double-helical elements and three loops (D, anti-codon, and T loops).
Source: RNAcentral